GUAGUUUUGCAUUUUUCACAACUUGACAUGAUACUUAUUCAUCCUGCACCUACAUUCAUCUGACACAAGGUGGUUCAGCUUCAUUCUCCUCCCUUCCUUCUGAUUGGCUGACACUUAACAACAGAAGGUUUGAACGGCAGCUACAGGACCUGGGUACCUGCAGUCAUUCUAUACCAACAUAUUCUAGAGUCAAAUGUGAGACCAUCUGCCCAACAGCCACAGCCUGAGCGACACUGUGUCAUGCAACAAGCCAAUGAUCCCAAGCACAGCAGCAAAUCUGCAGUAGAAUGAGUGAAAAAGACAAGAAUCAUGUGUUGCAAUGGUCCAGUCAAUGUCCAGACUGCAAUCUAACCUGACCUGAAAUGCUGUGUCAGGACCUCAGGAGAGCUGUGAAUAAAUAAAUGUCCACACACCUCAAUGAACUGAAGCAGCGUUGUAAAGAAGGCUUUGCUGAAAUUCCUCCUCAGCUAUGACUGAUAAAGUCACACAGAAAACCAUGACCUUAAGUUAUUGCUGAUAAAAGUGGAAUCAUGGGAUGUACUUACUUUUUCAAACACCACUUCUGCAUUUUGGCUCAGUUUUUAUUGAAUAACUCAGAAUAAGUCAGUGUUUAGAUAUAUGUAUCCCUUUAAAGUCUGAACCAUGAAACAAUUGCCAGAAAAUUCGAAAGUCUUUUUUGAACAUGGAGCAUUUAUUAAGCCUCCUGACAAAUAAAAAAAUAAUAUAUUAAUUUGCAUAGAUUAGUUUUAAUUUUUAUCAUAUUAGCUGCACUUUGCAUUUUUUUGCGUAGUAAUGUAUUGUGAAUCUCAAAAACUAAUAAAAACUGUAUGUAUCAAAUAUGAUACACUACGUGUUAAGAGGAUAUUAUAAACAAAAUUUCAUGAGUGCUGAAAGAAAGAUGGUCACACUUUGUGCAGUUACAUGAUGAAUAUUUUAUUUAACAACAUUAUAACUGGUUUGUACAGUACAAACAAAAAAGGCUGGGGUGCAUCACUGUUGUUGCACAGAAAAAUGUAAAGAAAAAAAAAAGGUAAAUCACCAGCUUGGUCUAUUUCCAUCAAAACAUAUGAUAAAUAUCACUUGGCUUAGUUUUUGGCUGCCACUCAAA
Long non-coding RNA from Oreochromis niloticus (Nile tilapia), 1108 nucleotides. RefSeq lists it as uncharacterized. The transcript has 2 exons. Lineage: Eukaryota; Metazoa; Chordata; Actinopteri; Cichliformes; Cichlidae. The record is from RefSeq and is a predicted model, not a curated record.